Molecule: RNA transcript, 2300 nt
Organism: Prionailurus viverrinus (fishing cat)
Lineage: Eukaryota; Metazoa; Chordata; Mammalia; Carnivora; Felidae
Gene: LY9
Gene name: lymphocyte antigen 9
Exons: 9
Source: RefSeq, a predicted model, not a curated record
GGAAGCUGUGGUAAGCACUUCCUCUUUCAGCCUGAGGUCUGAGAGAAGAUCAUCAUGGCGGGUCCAAAGAAACACCCAGAUGACUGGGUGCUACGGUCCUUCUCCAGGAAACCACAGAAGAGUCAGCCGCACGUAUUCUCUCCCUUACCGUGGACACAUCUCCUCUUCUUGCUCGUGGGACUAGAAGCCUCUGGAAAGGACUCAUCACCCCCAACAGUGGUGCCAGGGAUUCUAGGGGGUUCGGUGACUUUCUCCCUGAACAUUUCAGUGGACACAGAGAUUGAGCACGUCACCUGGAAUGGUCCCCAAAAUGCUCUUGCUUUAGCAGUCACAGAAACACAAGUUAUCAUUAUGGACAAAAGCUACCAGAACCGACUGAACAUCAGCUGGAACUACUCCUUGUCUAUCAGCAACCUGACUUUGAAAGACGCAGGAUCCUACAAAGCCCAGAUAAACCGCAAGAAUUCUAAAGUCACCAUUGAUGAGGAAUUCAUCCUGCGUAUCUAUGAGCAGGUGCAGGUGCCUCGAGUUGUUGUGAAGUCCGUGAACAUGUCUGAUAGUGCCUCCUGCAACAUUACCUUGAUUUGCUCUGUGGAGAGGGCAGGGACAAGUGUUCUGUACAGCUGGACCCCGAAGAACACCCAUGCUUCUGAAUCCCAUGGGGCCUCCACCAUCACCAUCUACUGGAUGCCAUGUGACCCAGACCUGCCAUACACCUGCACAGCCAGGAACCCAGUCAGCCAGAGCACCUCCGGCCCCAUCCAUGUCCGGCAGUUCUGUACAGCUCCGGGAGCCUCCAGAGGAGGAUCAACGGGGGAGACAGUGGUGGGGAUCCUCGGGGAGUCAGUCACCCUCCCCCUAACACUCUCGGCCAGUCACUACGUGAACAACAUUGUCUGGAUGUUUAACACAUCUAUUAUCACCAAAAAGCAGGAAGUGAAGCCCAAGAUUCCUGACAAGAACUCUGGCCAAGACUACUCCCUGAAGAUUGGCCAGCUAAAGAUGGAGAAUGCUGGCCACUACUAUGCCUAUGUGUGUUCAAAGGCCUCCAGAGUCAUCAGCAGAAAACAUUUCACCCUGCUCAUCUACCGGAGGCUGAAGAAGCCAAAAGUUACCGGGAGCCUUGAGCUCACUGAGGAUGGCAUCUGCAGGGUCAGCCUGACAUGUUCAGUGGAGGACAGUGGACACAAUGUGACAUACUUAUGGACCUUCCUACAGAAAGGAACUGUCAUGUCCCAAGGGGGAUCUCACCUCAAUAUCUCUUGGAGAAGUGAUGAAAAUCAUCCCAACUUCACAUGUACCACCAGGAACCCUGUCAGCAAGAGCUCCCAGUCAUUUCUUCCCGGUGACAUCUGCCCAGGGCACGAGAGAAACAUGAAGCUCUACAUUGGACUCUCCUUGAUGGCUCUUAUUCUUCUGUGCUUUGGGAUCUCCAUCUGGUGGUGCAUGUGGAAGCAAAAAGGACGGCACUCAGUCCCAGACUCCAGCUCCAACCAAGCUGAAACCCCAGCGGAUGCGCCAGGGUAUGAGAAGCUGGACACUCUUCUCAAGACUGCCAAGCAACGGUCUAGGCCCCCCUCUGCCACCAGCUCUGACAGCAGUGGAACAACCGAGGAGACGACAGACAUGGUCAAGGCUGGAAGAUACCAGGAGGACACUGGACCUGACUCGGCUUCUGAGAGGCAAGCAGAGUACGAUCUCGUCAUGCUGAGGAAUGCACCUGCACCUACGGCCCAAGACUACACGGUGUAUGCGCAAGUAUUCCUCAACUUGCAGGUGAGCCCUUUUGACCAGUACACCUUCCCUCCUGCUCCAGUUCUAACACCAUCCAAUAUCCUGGAUGACUUAGUCCCCCCACACGGGGAGCCAGGACCAGCAGCACACGGGCAGACAAGUGUGGCUCUGCUCAUGUUAACCAAACCUUGGGAUCCCUUGGAGUGAAGGAGCUCGUCCUCGGCUCCCAAUCUUGGGCCAUUAAUAAGGGAGAUGUCAAACAACCAGAAGCACUGUACCCACCGCACUAAGACAGCCACCGCCCUCUGUGUGAAAUCUGAACCUGGUGGGUGUCCCCUCUCCUUAGGGGAUGAGAGUGACACCCUGAAAAGCUCUCAUCUGGUGCGUACAGAUAGUCUGAUGUUGAUCUGUUACAGGGAAAGACCCUAGUUCCUCAACAGAAAGAGGGUUCGGCCACAAUCUACAGCUGUAUCCAGACACCUCAGAAGGUGGUGCCACCACCACAGCAGAAUGAUCUGGAGUCUCCUGAAACCCCUACCUAUGAAAAUGUGGACUGAAAAGAAAAG